RNAcentral lists this long non-coding RNA (1484 nucleotides) under Homo sapiens (human). RNAcentral's name for it is "novel transcript". The record is from RNAcentral. Lineage: Eukaryota; Metazoa; Chordata; Mammalia; Primates; Hominidae.
AGGAACAAAGCGACAGCCGUCUGCUGGUGAGCUGGGCUAAUCCUGUUAAACAAUUCACAGAUCUGACGCCGGACACGCUUUUUGAAACCUGAGGGAGUGGCACAAACGGAAUCCGCGUGGCCGACGUGAGCCUUUAUUUAGAAUAAUUCCAGAUAAACAGCUCUGUGACCCGAUGCAGUCAGCAUCAGGCCUACCCCCGUGUCAGCACUGGGAGCUCCUGGAAGGAGGGCCGGCUCUUGGAUGUGGGGAUUGGCUGGGACUUUUUUCAGUUGAAAGGGUCAAAGUAGCGUGGAGUGACGUCUCAGGGGUCCUGUGUGUACAGAACCCGGCCCAGAGCCUCUCACAGCCGGUUACAGGAUUUGAUGCUGAUACUAUGAUGGUGUUUUGCUGACACAGGAAUGCAGGCUCAGGAGCUGGUGUGAAGAUCCUUCCACAAUGCCUGCUACUCGAGCAUCCAGAACUAAAGCACUGAGUCCUUCUUUGUUCCAGGAACUUCCUUGAUUUAAUUUUUCCGAUUGGUGGGUGCUUCUAAUUGGAGAACCUUCCAGAAAGCACAGCCUUUGAGAAGUGGCUGGAUGGCCAAAGGGCUGCCAAUAUUCCCACCUGCCUUCCUCUACUCUGCCAUUCUGACUAUAAAAUCCCCCUGAAGAAACCUUUGUCAGGUCUGAUGCAGGCAGAGUAUGUGGGGAGGUGUUGGGAGUCAGGGCUGAGAAUGCUAGAAGCUUCAUCGCAGAGACAAGAGAAGAGACAGCUGAGUGAGAGACAGUGAGUCAAGAGAGCUCAGCGGAUGCCAAACCUGGAGCAGAUGGAAGUAGGAUGGCAGAGGCCCCAGGGCUUGCAGAAAUCGUGGGGAAGCCACAGGGCACCCCACAGGCACAAGCGAGGGUGCUGGAAUUCAUUUUUACCAAACCUUGCACCUGGCUUACCUGUGAAUCCCAGGGGCUACAGAGCAGCAGGCACACAGCUGGUGGUGGAGGCACAUCUGUGCGGAGGUUCACUGUGGUCUCCAGCCUGGAGCACAGACAUCCCAACCCGGGCUGCAGGGUGAGCACUCGAGUUUGGGGCUCAGAUGGUGGGCUGGCCUUAUGGAACAGACAAGAACUGAGGAGAUUUUCACCGCUGCUGGAGUACCGGACUGACGGGAGACAGAAGCUGUGCGUGGACUGAUGGGAGACGGAAGCUGUGCGUGGACUGAUGGGAGACAGAAGCUGUGCGUGGACUGAUGGGGGACGGAAGCUGUGCGUGGACUGAUGGGGGACGGAAGCUGUGCGUGGACUGAUGGGGGACGGAAGCUGUGCGUGGACUGAUGGGGGACGGAAGCUGUGCGUGGACUGAUGGGGGACGGAAGCUGUGUGUGGACUGAUGGGAGACGGAAGCUGUGCAUGGGCCACCACCCCUUCAGGGGCACAGUUGCCACUGGCAUGCCUGAGAGUUUGUUUUUAAAAGAAUGUGGCAAUAAACAUACGUGUGCAUGUGUCUUUAUA